RNAcentral lists this ribosomal RNA (1128 nucleotides) under Clostridium butyricum. RNAcentral describes it as "bacterial SSU rRNA". The stretch from base 270 to 1128 matches the Rfam family "Bacterial small subunit ribosomal RNA". Lineage: Bacteria; Bacillati; Bacillota; Clostridia; Eubacteriales; Clostridiaceae. The record is from RNAcentral.
GGCUGUAGAGAUUUUCGGCCCCUGCGGUAUGGAAUUACUGUCUUUGCGUAGAUAUGACGUUUACCACGCAGGAGAGAGUCCCCGGCUAAUAAUCGUGGCGAGCAGCGGCCGGGUAAAUAGUAGAGUUGUGCAAAGCUUGUUACUCGGAUAUAUCUGUGGCGCUGCAAAGGGAGCGCACAGGUGCGAUAUUUUUAGUGUGCGAUUGGAAAAUAUUCUCGGGGCUCAACCCUGGGGUGAUGCACUUCCCAAUAUGGAUCAUGUAUGAGAGUCUGGAGGAGGGGAAGGGAGAAAUUCCUCAGUGUGAGCGCGGUGUAAAUAGUGUAGAGAGAUAUGGAAAGAAUAAUCCACGUGGGCGAGAAGGCGCCGUCUUCUUGGACAUGUAAAUGACACGUUAGGCGUCGAAAAAGUGGGGGAGCAAACACAGAUUUAGAUCCCUGGUAGUGUCACGCCGUUAAAGAUGAAUACUAGGUGUAGUGGGUUGUCUUAAGCUCUGUGUCGCCGCUAAAGCAUUUAGUAUUACGCCUGGGGAGUACGGUCGCAAGAUUUAAACUCAAAGGAAUUGACGGGGGCCCGCACAAGCAGCGGAGCAUGUGGGUUAAUUUGAAGCAAAGCGAAGAACCUUUCCUAGAUUUGACAUUUCACGAAAUUUUCUGUAAAGGAGGAAGCCCCUUCGGGAGCAGGAAGACAGGUGGUGCAUGGUUGUCGUCAGCUCGUGUCGUGAGAUGUUGGGUUAAGUCCCGCAACGAGCGCAACCCUUAUCGUUUGUUGCUACCAUUUAGUUGAGCACUCUAGCGAGACUGCCCGGGUUUACCGGGAGGAAAGGGGGGAAGGAGUCAAAUUAUCAUGCCCCCUAUGUACCAGGGUACACACGUGGUACAAAGGGCGGUACAAAAAGAAACAACCCUGCGAGAGGCAGCAAAACUUCAACCCCAUCUCAGUUUGGAUUGUAGGCUGAAACUCGCCUACAUGAAGCUGGAGUUGCUAGUAAUAAUGAAUCUCAUGUUGCCACGGUUAAGUUCCCGGGCCUCGUACACCCCACCGCUCACCCCACGAGAGUUGGCGAUACCCAAAGAUGGUGAGAUAACACCGUAAGCGAGUCAGGGUCCUUAAGGUUUUCCCUCCCUCUCG